ACCCGACUGCUAUCGGAUUGGGAUUUAGCCAUGUUAGUUGUACGUUCCUUGGCUACAAGGGACGUAGCGUACGGCUCAGUAACACGUAGUCAACCUGCCCUGGAGACGUGGACAAACCCGGGAAACUGGGGCCUAUCCGCGAUAGACGACCACAUCUGGAAGGAGUGGUCGUCCAAAGGGCGGCACGGGUAUGCUCCGUGCCUUUCGCUCCAGGAUGGGACUGCGGCCGAUCAGGCUGUUGGCGGGGUAAUGGCCCACCAAACCUGUAACCGGUACGGGCUUUGAGAGAAGGAGCCCGGAGAUGGACACUGAGACAAGGGUCCAGGCCCUACGGGGCGCAUCAGGCGCGAAAACUUCGCAAUGCGCGAAAGCGUGACGAGGCUAGUCCGAGUGCUUCCUGCUAAAGGGAGCUUUUCUCGGCUGUAAAUAGGCCGGGGAAUAAGGGGAGGGCAAGUCUGGUGUCAGCCGCCGCGGUAAUACCAGCUCCUCGAGUGGUCGGGACGAUUAUUGGGCCUAAAGCACCCGUAGCCUGUUCUGUAAGUCCUCUGUUAAAUCCAGUCGCUCAACGGCUGGCCCGCAGAGGAUACUGCAAGACUAGGAGGCGGGAGAGGCGGACGGUACUCCGCGUGUAGGGGUAAAAUCCUUUGAUCCGCGGAAGACCACCAGUGGCGAAGGCGGUCCGCCAGAACGCGCUCGACGGUGAGGGGUGAAAGCUGGGGGAGCGAACCGGAUUAGAUACCCGGGUAGUCCCAGCCGUAAACGAUGCGAGCUAGAUGAUUCGUUCGCAGUUCGCGAACGAAGUGUCGCAGGAAAGCCGUUAAGCUCGCCGCCUGGGGAGUACGGUCGCAAGGCUGAAUCGUAGAG
RNAcentral lists this ribosomal RNA (864 nucleotides) under uncultured archaeon. RNAcentral describes it as "bacterial SSU rRNA". It matches the Rfam family "Archaeal small subunit ribosomal RNA", at positions 21 to 861 of the family's 1478-position model. The record is from RNAcentral.